AGGAUUGAACUCAGGGCCUCAUGCCUGUGAGGCAAGCACUUUAUCACUGAGCCACAACCCAAGCCCAGUAAGUAUUUUUUAUUUUAUUUUAUUAUUUUUUGUGUGUGUUUUAUUAGCUACACAUGACAUUACAAUGAUCUUGGCAAUUCAUAUAUUUGAAUCAAUUGGGGUAUAAAUUCUCAUUUUUCUGAUUGUACAGAUUGCAGAAUCACACUGGUCAUAGAGUCAUCUAUAUACAUACAGCAAUCAUAAUGUCUAUUCUAUUCUGCUGCCCUUACUCUCCCCCCUAGUAAGUAUUUUUAAAAAAAUAUUUUUUAGUUAUAGGUGGACACAAUACUUUUAUUUAAUUUUUAUGUGGUGCCGGGGAUUGAACCCAGUGCCUCACGCAUGCUAGGCAAGCACUCUACCACUGAGCUACAACCCCAGCCCCAGUAUUUUUUUUAAUAUGUUUUUUUAGUUGUAGCUGGACACAAUACCUUUAUUUUAUUUUAAAUAUUUUAUUUUAGUUGUAGAUGGACACAAUGUCUUUAUUUUUUAUGUGGUGCUGAGGAUUGAACCCAGUAUCUCAUACAUGCAAGAUAAGUGCUCAAUCAUUGAACCACACCCCAGCCUGAUAUCUUUAUUUAUUUAUUUUUAUGUGGGGCUGAGGAUCAAACCCAGCACCUUGCACGUGCUAGGCGAGCGCUCUACCACUGAGCCACAAUCCCAGCCCCCCCCCCCCAGAACAGUAACUAUUGCAUUUAGUUGUCACAUCUCUUUAGUCCCCUUCAAUCUAGGAGAGUUCCCCCAUCUUUUAUUGACUUGCAUAAUUUUAACACUUGAGCACUGCAGACUCAGUUGUUUACAGAAUGCCCCUCCAUCUGAGUUUUUGGAUGCUUCCUCACGCUUGGAUGAAGGUUUCUUCUCUCUGGAAGGACCAGCAUAGAAGUGAUGCUUUAGGGCUUCCUACCAGGUACUCAUGAUGUCCCUCUGCUCCACCUGUGAUGUCAUUUCCAACACUCAAUUAAGGUAGAGUCUGCCAGGCUUCUCCCCAUGAAGUCAUUUUCCCUGUGUUAUUGUUAAGUAUUUUGUGGGGAGGUACUUUGAAACUAUGUAAAUAUCCCAUUAUUCAUCAAAUAAGUAAUUACAGUGAAUAAUUAAUUAUAGAUGUAAUUAUUAAUAUGACUACAACUAACAAAUAUAAUUACUAUAUGUUUAGCCUCACACCGUUUCCUAUUUUAUUUAAUGGACUGUAAUGGGUUAUAAUCUAUUUAUUAUCAAUAUGUUAUUUAUUUUAUGCUCACAUUAUACCAGGUUUGGUCAGUGGCAGCCCCUCAAAUUGGCUUCUGUGUUCUUUUGCCAUGUCUCCCUCAUUCUUUGGACAGGUGCCUCGCCUUGCCCAGCCCUCCCUGUGGCCUGUGGCCUACUCUGGCAGGGAAGGGAGGAGUCUAGGAAGGCUUCCAAUGGCACCAAAUAUUCUAGACAGUGGUGCUAGUUGUUUGUGAAACUUAGAAACCCAAGAUUCAGCCUGUGGCAUGAGCUCACUUAGACUAUCCCCUCAGGACCAGGCUUUCUAGUUGGGGUCAUCUGUUACCUUGAGUGUGCUUCUUAGAAAAACAAAACCACUGAGGGGACCCAAGAAAGAAAUGGGCCCAUGGUGUCUCCUGUGCCUUCAUGCUGGACCCAGGAUGGGUUAAAUUUGAAUGUUACCCCCAGCUUCAGGACUGGCCAGGAAAUUUCCCAUAUCUUCCCCCUGGUUAUUCAUGCUUACUAAAAGCAGGCGCUGCCAGUGCCUUCCGGCCUGAAUCAUUCCUGCAUCUCAGGCUGUCCAGAGCACCAAGACCCAGCAUGGGCCCCAGCAGGCAGCAGACUGUGAGGCUGUGCUAUUUUUGGGCUUCCUUUUAGACCCCCUGAUAGUUUUGCUUUCUGGAAUAUUGUUUCUUUUUCCUACAGGAGACAGAUUCUAAGAAACAUCUCAGGAAGCCCUGGCACUGAUAAUCACGGAGUAUCUGUGUAAUAUAGUCCCAGAGGUCACCUGGGGUCGUGGUCCAUUUACCAAGAGACUAAAAGAGCUCAAAAUUUUAGGGCCCCUCACUUGCAUGGGCCACAUCCAAAAUCAGGGCAUUUGGUAGUCACAGUUUCGUAGUCUAUCUUAAAGAAGGGCUCCCCAAUUGCUUGAGUUCUUCACAUGGGCCUGCCCUGGAUCUACUGUCACAUAUGACAGGAUUCCUGGGCUCAAAGUACCCCAGAGUGGUGAGAAAGGAAGGACAGGAUCCCCUGGGGGAAGGCAGUUCAGUGCCAUGGUAAAGAGUGAGGCUGCCUGGGUACACAUCUCAGAGGUGACACUCAGAUUCCAGAGGCUGCCUACCUGCCCUCCAGUGGAACCUACCUCACAGGGUUGAAGGGAGGAUUAAAUAGGUCCACAGACAGAUACGUGGAUAUGCAUAGAGUGAGUCCUUGAAAUAGCACUUAGAGGUCUUCUCUUUCCCUUUCUCUUUAUGAAGUGCUGCCGUAAAGGACAAGCACCCUGGAGAGUCUUGGUCUCCUCGUUCUGUAACACCAAGGAAUGUUCCUGGCUUCUCUGGCUUUUCUAGUCAAGGUUGAAGGCUCGUGAAGGUUUCAGAACAUUGGGUUUCAGGGUCAGGUUGCUGGGCUGAGUUGCCAGGAAGUGGCUGGCCUUGACCACUGCAUCCGAGUAUCUGCAAGUGGGCAGCAGGAAGUGAAAAGCCUGAGACCUGGCUCUGAACUGCCUCCUGGCCCUGUCCCCAUGGACAGGAAACGAGGCUGGGAGGAUUGGGACAGAAUCAGCUUUGGAGUUGCUGGCUGGGAUGGUGGGUGACAUGAGCUGGCCACAGACUCCAGUCUCUGGGGAGACUCACCUGGGAGGCUCUGCACUGGAGGCUUAGGAACUCCAGGCCUCCUAUAGGAGAUGGCAAGGUGGGGGAUUUUGACCCCCUACUGCCACCAGUCUUUCUUUCUCUUCCCUAUGUCAGAAAGCUGGGGGCCAAGUCAGGCAUAGUGGUACACACUUGUAAUCCUAGUGACUCAGGUGGCUGAGGCAGGAGGAUUGCAAGUUCAAAGCCAGCCUCAGCAAUUUAGCAAGGCUCUAAGAAACUUAGCAAGACCCUGUCUCAAAAUAAAACAAAAAAAGGGCUGGGGAUGUGGCUCAGUGGUUGAGUGCCUCUGGGUUCAAUCCCCGAUACUAAAAAAGAAAAAAGAAAGCUGGGGGCCAAAUCACUUGCAUUUCAGGUGUAUUUUUUUUUCUUCUUUCCAUCCAGCUCUGUGAGACCAAAAUGAAUAACAGACACCAUCAGUUGUCAGAGAAGGUGGGUUCCCUUGUCCCCCUAGAGAAGGCCAACCUGCCUAGCUCAGCUCCUCCCUGGACAGCAUUUUCCCUGUGCCUGCCUCUCCUCAUUCCAACUUCCCAGGUAUGCUACCAUCUUCCCUUCCUCCUAUACCCCUGUCCUCUCCCUUCUGAUGGCCUCACUAUUCACCAGCCAGCCUUCCCAGCCCCAUUCCCUCUUCAGCCAGGGUCCUGGGGACCUGGAGAGCCAUGACUCUUCAACUAUUAUAAGGAAUCCAUAUAACUUAUACCCCAAGUGUGGUGUUUCUAAAACAAUAGUAUAAACUAGGACUGUCCUGGCCAAGCAAGGCUAUGUGGCCAAGCUAGGAAAACACAGUCACCAGCUAAUGUCAUACUCCCCAUUUACUCAGCCCUUGCUACCCCCUGGCUCUGCACUGUGUUUCAUGUUCUUUCCAGAAUAACUCACUCCAGUGUAAUCCUUUUACUUGGAUCAGGCAGACCCCCAACCCUCAUCUUCUCUCACCUGUCCCCCAGUGAUGGGCUACUGCUGACUUGUCCUGGCUGGGCAGUCUGGUACAUUUUUAAGAACUUUACAAGCCAGUUGUUAAACAUAGUUAUCAUUUCCAAAUGAAAUGAUCUGAGCUUUCAAUUAAAUAAUUUAAAGACAAAGGUAAUAAAUACUCUACAUUUAUGUAAUCACUUCCCAACUAUAUUGUUUCCUGUGCUCUUGACGUGAUGAGUAUGGUGUCUGUAUAGCUGAAAACCAUAUAUGGUUUACUACUGCAGUCUCUUCCCAACUCUUGAGUUCAAUGCUUUUGGGUUGGAAGAUUUGCCCUGGUGGGAACAGUUACACUUUUGUAAUUAGCAAAUGCUGUAUAAUCAGGGCUGACUUACUGUUUUGUUGAUGGGCCUAUACUUCAGAAAGUGAUGUAAGAAAGAAAUUGUUAGUAAUGCAGAUUAAACUUUAAAAGCAUACCAUGCCUGAGCCAUUAUCUUGUGAAUAACAAAUCAAGGAGGGCUGGGGUUGUGGCUCAGUGGUAGAGUACUUGCCUAGUACGUGUGAGGUACUGGGUUCAAUCUUCAGCACCACAUAUAAAUAAAUAAACAAAAUAAAGGCAGUGUCCAUCUGUAACUAAAAAAUUUUUUUAACAAUCAAGGAAAUAUUUUUCUAGCACUUGAAAAGUAUGACCUGAUUUAGCAAAGAAGUUGUUCAUGUCAUUGACAAAUGAGUCAAGUUCUGACUGCAUACUGCUCAAGCCAAACAAGGUUUCCAUUUAAUAAACACAAUUAGUGUGAAGAGGAGAAAUGGUUUGCCAGCAGAUCACACAUCAGAUUUACGGACAAUGAAUUUAAAAGGAAAAAAGUUAGCCAAUUACGCAAGUCCAUUUGUCAAAUCAUGUCUGACUAUAAGAGUUUGACCAAAAGCAAUGAACAAUAUCCGUGAGAAUCAGUUAGCUACACAGAAUUUACAAUGUGGAGUAUUGUAAAUGGUGUGCUCCACAUCCUUUCUACCAGUAAAAUUUGUAGGAAACACUCUUAUGUAUAUAUGUACACAAAUGCUUUUCUAGAGAGAGUUGUGAAAUACUUAUCAACAUACACCACUGCCCACUCCCCGUCCUAGAGGGGACUGACUUCCUGGUCCUCUUGCAGUUGGGUGUGGCCACGUGAUGAGUCCAGUCCAGUGAUAUGUGGUAGGAAAGAUAUCAGCCACAUUCAGGGCUGGCCUUCAAAUAUUGCUCAUGAGACCCUCUCAAUCUCUUCCUUCCUUGCUGCAGGGACACUGGGGACCCCAAUGUCUUAGUCUGUUAUGUGCUACUGUAAUAGGACACCAUAGCCUGGUUAAUUUAUAACUAAUAGGAGUUUGUUUAGCUUGCAGUUUCAGAUGCUGAGAAGUCCAAGAUCAAGGGGCUACAUUUCCUGCUGUGUCAUAACAUGGUGGAAAUGUCACAUGGCCAAAGAAUGUGUAAGAGCAGGCAAAAGGGGUUGAAGUCUUUAUAACAAAACCAGUCAUAAUAUGACAUUAAUCCAUUUGUGAGGGUGGAGCCCUGUGACCUCAUCACCUACCAUUAGGCCCCGCCUCCCAACCCUAUUGAACUGGGGAUGAUGUUUCCAACACAUGAAUUUAGGGGGACAUUCUAGCCAUGGGCUCUUGCUAAUGAAGCCACCUGAUGGAGAAGAGAUGCCUGCCCUGAAUAGUGGCUAUGAGUAAAAUAAACUUUUAUUUAUUUAAGCCACUGAGAUCACAGGUCUAUCUAUUACCACAGAGUGGCCUCGUCUAUCCUGCUAGUCCAAGGAGGAGCCAGAGAUGGGAGGCAAUCUGGGCCAGGAUCCAGCCCAUCUUCAUUCCCAGUCCUCCCUCCUACACACUUUCAGAAAUAUGGAAUAAAGUCUGAAUCCAAGGUGGGUUUUGUUUAAGGCCCCAUUUCAGAGGAUAUCUCACAGGGCCCAUUCCUGGCCAUGCCUCUAAACGCAACCACCUCCAGCGGGAGGCCACCCACCAAAGUCUGUCAUUAGAGGGCCAGCCAGGGUGGCUGGUGGCUGGGAUUCAGCCUCCCAUUAAGUGUUAUUAGCCUGGCCCACAAGCACCCCUCUGGCCCUGUCAUUUACUGCUUCCCUCUGUACUUAAUCUGGACCAGAUCUGGGACUUGGACAGACAGAGAACCAGCUUGGGAAAUGAUGUUUUUAGGGCACAGAACUUAGGUCCCAAAUGCCAAGCCACACAAACCAGGCUCCCUGCUCUCAGCUGCAGAAGCUUCAGCUCAGCUCCACUAACCUUUGCUGUGUGCGGAUGGUGAGGCAGGCACGAGGGUGUUCCGGGCAGCGCAGUAGGCCUCGGGUAGACACUGCGUAGUACUGUGGGAUAGGCGUAGUAUUUUCUUCUUGUUCCUUCCUGCCCUGAAAGCCUGGCUAUUCUCCCUGGCUUUGAUUGCAAACCAGGACGUUGAAACCCAUGAGGUUGAAGUCACAGAGCCCCGAGUGGUGGGGUGACUUGAGGCGUGAGUCGGUGCAUUCCUGACUCCUGAUUCCGUGGUGGUGACCCUGGCCUCCACUUCCUCGGCCCCACCUGUUCUCUCCCGGUCAGGAGUUCCACCCAUGACCUGUGCUUACCCUCUCCCUGCAGUGCUACUCUUGCCUUGUUGUCUAGGUGCACCACCAGGAAGAGCUCCAGAGUAGGCUCUGGCUUUGUUUUGCUCGGAUUUCACUGUGUCCUCCGUGUAUAGAAUGGUGCCCAAGUGUUUGCUAAAUGACUAUUAUAGAAGUGUGGGGUCUGUGUGGGCAGGGCCUGUGCUUCUCCCUCUAGGGCUCCCGCCUGGCUCAGUAUUUUAGCUGGUGCCUGUGGAGAUGGACAGCCCUCAACCACCCUCUUCUCCCAACCAGCAUUUCCUCCUGACCUGCCCUGGGUCUGCGCACGCUGUGCCCUCUGCUCAAACACACCCUCUCGCCUUUUGGUUCCUUUGGCUCCUGCUUGUCUUCAAGUCUCAACUAAGCCCUCUUCUCUGACCUCUGUCCUGGAGCCCCCCCCCUCCCCAUAUUAUCCCUUUCACAUAGGGUCAUACCUUCUCAAAAUCAGUGGGUCUACCUGGCUUCUUGCAUUAAUGCAGGCUUGGGAAGGGUGAGACCUGAAUGUCCUGCUCACAAUUGUGUCUUCAGUCACCAGGAUGGCACAGAUUAGGUGCUCAAGUGCCUGUAGGAUGAAUCCAUGAAGGGCUGACCACUGUUGAUCCCUCAAGGAAGACCCAGAAGUCAUGUACCAAGGAUGCAGGAAGUGCGGGCUGGCUCUAGUCUGGUCCAGGGUCCCCACUGAUCAUCUCCCUGACAUGCUCAGGACAAAGAAAGCAGCCCUGUCUACUCUUUCCCCCUCAAACCAGACUAUCUUCUUUUUGUCCCCCUCAAACCAGACUAUCUUCUUUCUAAAUUUAUGAGAGGAACAUAUACUUAUUGUAAGACUUCUGAGCUAUUCUUAUUCACUAUCUUGGCCACCUACUAUGUGCCAGAUGCCCCACUAGGUACUGGGGGUGCAAAGAUAGUAUAGCAGCGGAUCUACACCCAUUCUGCACCUGAGGGUAGUUCUCCUGCUGUACACCUUAGAAGAGGGCUCUGCUUUCUGUGUGCUGGCCCCAUGUGUCAGAAUCACACCAAGGGCUCCCACCUCCAGAGGCUUCAACCCAUUAGAUCUCAGUGAGUCUGAUCAUUUGCUUCUCUAACAAAUUCUCCCAUGAUGUUUACUCUGCCAGCAGUAAAUAUGAUCGAGAACCAUUGCCUAGACUACAUGAGCCUUACAGUUGUCACAGGUUUUACACGUCUGUGCUCAUUCAGUCUUUUGACAUCUCUCACCUGGGUAAGACACAUGACCAGUGAGAGCUGAGGUGGAACCGAGUUUGGGUCUUCCUACGAGACUGCCCUCUCUUAGCACCAGGUGGCAUAGAGUUCUAGGAAAGCCUGCAAGGGUCUAACUAGAAGAGGCUGUGGAGAAUCCAGGGUGACAUUCUGGGAGUUAGGAUGGUGGAGUCUGCUUUUCCCUUCUGGAAAGAGCCCUGGCUUGGGGCAGGAUGGUCUGGGAGAGAGUGACUUGGGGGCAAAGAAGGGUCAGAUGGCACUGGGAAGGAAGGGCACUGCAGCUCUGGAGGGCCUUCUGCCCCAUGGUGGGGGCUGGGUCAUCCCUUCUACUUUGAAGACUCUGGCUGAAAGGGCACACCUCUAAGAGGUCAGAGUGGCCUCCGUUCAGCCCCAGACUUGCCUUCCUCUGCACAGAAUGUGCCGUGUAUGGUAGCACGUCAGGGGCAGCACCCUGCCAGCCCAGCAACUCAGACAAGCACUUCCUUCCUGUCAGCCCCAGGCGGCCCAGGGGCUUUGGCAGGACAAUCCCCCAGUGUUCUUGUUGGGCCUGGCUGAGUGGUGCUACCUCCUCAGGAGGAGGCCUGGGAGGGAGGUGCAGAGAGAGACCAGCUCUGGGAAGAGCUGUGUCCUCCACAGGCAAGGACAGGAGACGUGGGGAAGUGUGAGCUCAGAUGGACAGCUUCCUGUGAUGCUGUGUUUCUGAGCAGGAAGCCAGAACCCUGGAGAAGGAAAAUAAACCUGGACACAUAUUUUUAGAAAGUGGGCAAACCCUGUUGCUCAGCAUGCGGUGGAACUGAAAUCUAAAUCCGGCUUUCUGUGUCUCUAAGCAGAAGGCCGGGACCCACUGGCUCCAUGCAGGAAUGAGACCUUCAGGGGAUGCGAGAGUGAACUGCCACUCCUGCUACUGCAGGAAAUCCCAAGCGGUGAUGGAGGUAUGAGCCAGGCUCCCGCUAGGUGCUCCACAUGUGCAACCCCAUUUAGGCCUCACCAGGACCCUGAAAGGUAAGCACAGCUCACCCCGCAUUUUCAGGUGAAGGAAGAGAGGCUCAGAGAAGGCAAGACCCUCAGAGAAGGUAAUCACAGGCAGGGAUGUGACAGAGCCUGUUCUAUGCCAACCUCAGCAGAUGGCAGUACUUGGAGGGUCACACACAGACUGGUCACUGAGCACAAUUGCUCUCCCAGAGCACAGCAGGUCUCUGCCUCCCGAUGGUGGGAGUUCAGGCUCACACACACAGCUCCUUCCAUGCCAAGCGGUCGAAAUGCCAGGCAGUUCUCUGUAUUGAACUCAAACCCCUCUCCUUGUAACCUCACAGAAUUAUCGAGCACAACAGCCCUUUAAGCCUUGCCAAUCCUCCACAUUCAUUUCUAGGUUUAGCCUCUUUCCAGCCAUCUCUUCUCCACUCCCCAGAAAGUGUUCCAGGUUUCUAUGUGGAAUCUGAGAUCCAGCAGAGUUGCUUUCUAAGGAGCAAAAUAAAUCAGGGAGAUCUAAUGUUUAGAAAAGGCAAAGUCAAGAUAGUAUGAGACAGAUAGAUGAUUGAGCUGAGAAAACAUUUUGAUAUCAAAGGAAAAAUUGUUUGGAUUUUUUUGUCCAUUAUGACCUAUAUCAGCUCUGAUGCUAAUUAUUCUUAGAAAGAAUCUACAGAAAUUAAUUUAAACAUUAGUAACAUUACUGGACCACGAGUUGAACCUCUCAAGGCAAGGUAGAUGCUCCACUGAGAGUAGACACAUUCCAGCAGAAUUGAGCAAAAACGUAAGCGGUGUGGCUUCCAAAUACUGGCAGAAUUAUAAUUAUUUAUGACAGGAUAGGAGGGGCACUGCCAGUGUACACUGCAGUCGUGUCAUAAUGGAUCUAGUGUUAGGAACUUAAAAUGACAUACCUCCUCAUCCCAGCUCCUUCCCAGAGCCAGGUUGCCCCUGGGUGGAGACCCAGGCUGAGGCAGGCUACUUGGUUGGAGUCAGGUCUGUGGACUUUCCAUGGAGGCCUGGUUGUCUUUCCAGUAACAGCCACGACUUCAAAGGGCUGCCAAGGAGCAGAUUGGGCAAUCCCCGGCCAGCCCAGGGUAGCUGUGUUGUGCGUAGGAGCCCUGCAUGCAGGGGUGUUGGAAACUGGCAAUUCCAGGUUCCAGAACCAAGUCCUGAGGGGAGGGAGGGAGACAGAUGGAGCCAAAGGACCUGCCUUGAACUGGAUCCCCCACGGCAAGAGGUUGCAGGCUCUGGGCUCAGGGAGCUCUGGCCCUGCCACAGGCCUGCUCAGGCCUGGCACACACCCGCCUCCUUUCCUCUUCAAAGAUGCCACUCCACCCACUGCAGGGCUCUUUCCUGGCUUCAAAAUGUCACAAUCUCCAUCUGUCUUUUCUUAUCCCUAUAGACCAGUCCCUCAUCCCUAAUAGUGGAAAUAACUACACAUCAGGUAACACCGUGGGAGGCAAGAAAAGCUCUGUAGAAGAGAAACAAGGUGGCAAAGCACCCUUCCUCUUCUUGAUGACACCAAGGAGACUCAGCCCCCUCCACACUCAGGAGGAGAGAAGGCUGGGAGGCAAUGGCCCUGCUCAGCUUAGGUAGCAUCAGUGAAGGGGCCGGAAACAGGGAGUCUGCGGCCUAGUCAACCAGUGUGAUGGAAGCGAUGGUCCCCAGAGGCCCUUUUGAAGACAAGCUACCUGUGAGUGUGAGCACCAUGUAGUCCCACUGGCAGGUGGUCACAGGAAUGGAGAUGAUGGCCAGCUGCUGCUCUCAGCAUCCACCACAUGUGAGGGACACAAGGGUUUGCUGAACAAGAGGAUGUUGUCAUAGUCUAUACCACUUGGCUCACCUCCCAGCUUCAAAAAUGAAGAAAACAAGUGUCAAACCAGAUGUGGUAGACAGGCCUGUAAUCCCAGUGACUCAGGAGGCUGAGGCAGGAGGGUCACAAGUUCAA
Molecule: long non-coding RNA, 10535 nt
Filed under: Marmota monax (woodchuck)
Lineage: Eukaryota; Metazoa; Chordata; Mammalia; Rodentia; Sciuridae
Source: RNAcentral